CUGAAAAAAACAUAAAAUAAAAACAUAAGGCCAAUUACAAAUUGCCUAAGAAUAUUAAUAUCUUCCUCAUUCUAAAAGUUUCUUCUCCUGUAGAAGGUAGAACGGUAGUAGGUAAUAGGUAUUGAUCUCAAUUUGUGUGGAGCAGCCACUUAAGAAUAUUGUAAUGUAGAAGUUCCAUUGUGUCUUAAAAAAAGUAGAAAUUUUGCUGUGAGAGUUAUGUGUUUGCAUGUGAUUAAAACAAAUCAUUCUUUAUCACAUUUUUUUAGGGUCCGGGAAUGCCCUAAUCUGUAUGGAAUUCCACGCUAUUUCAUUACAUUUUAAUAUAAAUACUCAUUUAAAAAAAGCUUAAGAAGGUUCAUGGAGUACCUGUUUUAAUCUUUAUUUUUUUAAGCAUUUUUUUUUGUUUAUAUUGAUUAGCUGUCUAUGUCAAUGCUGUAAAAGCGAGCAACAGAGGAUCGAUGUAAAAGCUAAUGAUAUUUCCAUCGUAAUUCACAAUUCAAUUCAGAAUCUAUGGCUUCUCCAAGACAUGUUGAACAUUUUGAAGCAUGCAGCCAGCCAUAUAAUUUUCCACACUUUUACAAUCCCCAAACAACCACUGUUUGUCAACCAAAUAUUACACAUUUGUUAGAACAUUUUAGUAAUACACCUAGUAUUUAUCUAAAAUGUGAUCCUCUCAGUUAUGAAGAAGUCAUGAAACAGUCAUAGGGCGACAUUUAUUAUGCUGCGAAAAUAUUACCGUACAUAAAUACGCACAUGCACGCCUCAUUCCAAUGUAAUCCGCUUAUGGCGAUUAAAUAAUUUAGUCGCUUAUUUAUGAAGGUAUGCUUACAUUAUUUUUCUGACGAUUGGUUAGCGCACUGAAUCGUAAUUUGAUGCGGCUAUUAUUAUGUGAAAAUCAGCGAAUAAUGUGUGACGUGUUAUGUUACUGCGCAUGAGCAUUACCUCCGUUUUCGUAGCAUUCACUGGUGCUAAUGCGCAUGCUCUGGCAUUUACGUCAUGUUUUGUUAUAAGGCAUGGUUGAAAUUUUACGUAUCUUCGCAAACACACAUUUCUCAUUGUGAAGGAAUUGUAAUGGCGGCUGAUGAUAAUUCUGAAAGUGGUGGUCAUACAACAAAGGCCGGAAGAAAUAUCAAAUUCACCUUCGAUGAGAACUGCGCUUUGGUAGACAAGGUUGUUCAGUAUUAUGAUCACAUUUAUGGACAUUUAGCUCCAAAAACCUCUCAGGCCUGUAAAAGGAUAUGUGAAGCAGUUAAUGCAGUGGGUGCUCAUCCACGAACAAUUGACAAUUGCAAGAAAAGAGUCAGCGACAUAAAAAGGUUGUUGAAGAAAAAGUUAGCUGAAGAAAAGAAGUAUGCCCGUGGUACUGGAGGUGGUGCUCCACAUGAAAUACAUUAUUUGGAAUAUGAAGAAGAUUUUAAAAAGGUGAUGGGACCAGAUAUAGUAGAUGGCAUUGAUGGGCACAUUGACACUGGUGGUAAGUUUUCUUUUUAUUCUAUUUUUUCUUAUGUUCAUAUUUAUGUGCCCCUUUACAGCAGUUUACAUUCUUGUUUAAAGGAACAAAUUAAACAAUGAAACAAUGUACUGUUGCCCUGCACUGGUAAAACUACGCUGCUGUGUAGCCAUGUGGGCAGCCAUUCAAAGGGGAAACGGCGCUUAUGCGUUAUCUGCUAUCAACCUGGGCUAUUGAGCCAUAUUUAAAAUGCCCCAUGUUCUAUUGUUAUUUCUUUUAUUUAUUUGUUUUAUUUGAGUCUGCAGUUUCAUUAAGGUCUGUGGUGACUGGAAACCAUGAAAAUCCUACUCAGAUGUUAAAUUCCACUCAAGGUACAAGUUCAUCAGCAACCACUGGAGGACCUAGUGACAUAGAUGAUACCGAUCUUUCAAACCAACAUGAUGCUUCAGAGGACAACAUACUAUAUUCUAGUGAUUUCCCUGAUGUCCCAAAUGAUGAUGCUGGUUCAACUGUGACUUUGGUACUUGAACCUGUAUUGCAAAGUGAAGGGGAUCACAUGGACAACCCUGGUAGAACAUCCUAAUACAAGCGAAAACAAUGAUAGAGGAGAAAGUUCAGAUCUUCUUUUUCUCUCAAAAGUUGUUGAAAAUUUUAGUACCAAUACAAAUGCUGUGAGAAAGCUGGAAUUAAGGAAAAUAAAAAAGAUGAAUAAGGUUGAGGCUCACCUUAAAGUGUUAAAUCAACAUGUGUUAGAGAUUCGUAUACAGCACAGGGCAGAUUCUCAGAGAACCAAACAGUACCGUUCACGAAAGUUAUUUCUGAUGCAAGAGAAUAAUAAAAUAUUGCACAAGAUAUUACAGGAACCAAAACAAGUAAACCACUGUAAUCCUACUACUGAAGCUGUCUCUGCUGCUGCUUUGAGUUCACAAAAAUACAAUGCCCGCAUUGGUCCCAAUAAAAAUUAUAGCAAUGCUGCUAAAAUUACAUCUGAGACAGUUUUCACUAAAAAGAGAAAGAAGUAAAAAAAGGUGCAAAACACAAAUUUUGUUCCAUAGCAUGUUUUAUUUUUUGAAAGUUUGCUUUUCCAAAAAGUGCUCUUCUGAGUUGAAUAUUGACAUGGUUCCGUAGAAUUUACAUUGUCACAGAUAACUGACAUUGAAAAUUAGUAAUCCAUUUCUGACAUUUUCUGUGGGAAAAAAAGAAUAUGGUUAACAUUUGUUCAUUGUAAGCAAAAUAAAAAGUUUACAAAAACUUACAUCUGGUGUGAGUUGAUUAACUGCAUCCUCAUAUUUCUUCCACUGUCAUUAGUUUUAUUACAGCUGGAGCUUAACUGCUCUUGCACACAGAAUACGUUUCUAUGUUAGGCACACCAUGCUUUAAAGCCAGAUUAUGCAGAAUGCAGCACACUAUAAUGAUAUUUGUUAAUUUUUUGGGUGUGUAUUGUAGAACUCCUCCAGAUUUAUCUAGACAUCUAAAUCUGGCUUUUAACAAUCCAAAUGUUUUUUCAAUUACUGAUCAUGUGUUGCGAUGUGCUUCAUUGUAUUUCUCCUCAGCUUGUUAUUGUGGGUUUAGUACAGGAGUCAUGAGCCAUGAACGACAUCCGUAACCAGAGUCACCUUAGACAAUAAAGAAAGAAUAUAUACAUCAUAUAUACAAUAUAUGCAUUGAUAUACACAUUUUAC
This is a long non-coding RNA of Xenopus laevis (African clawed frog), 3132 nucleotides long. RefSeq lists it as uncharacterized. NCBI's taxonomy places the organism in Eukaryota, Metazoa, Chordata, Amphibia, Anura, Pipidae. The transcript is spliced from 3 exons. The record is from RefSeq and is a predicted model, not a curated record.